This 445-nucleotide ribosomal RNA is filed under the name uncultured bacterium. RNAcentral's name for it is "bacterial SSU rRNA". It matches the Rfam family "Bacterial small subunit ribosomal RNA", at positions 331 to 792 of the family's 1533-position model. The record is from RNAcentral.
GCAGACUCCUACGGGAGGCAGCAGUGGGGAAUAUUGCACAAUGGGGGGAACCCUGAUGCAGCGACGCCGCGUGGGUGAAGGAGUAUUUCGGUAUGUAAAGCCCUAUCAGCAGGGAAGAACAAUGACGGUACCUGACUAAGAAGCACCGGCUAAAUACGUGCCAGCAGCCGCGGUAAUACGUAUGGUGCAAGCGUUAUCCGGAUUUACUGGGUGUAAAGGGAGCGUAGACGGCAGUGCAAGUCCGGAGUGAAAGCCCGGGGCUCAACCCUGGGACUGCUCUGGAAACUGUAAAGCUGGAGUGCGGGAGGGGCAGGCGGAAUUCCUGGUGUAGCGGUGAAAUGCGUAGAUAUCAGGAGGAACACCGGCGGCGAAGGCGGCCUGCUGGACCGUAACUGACGUUGAGGCUCGAAAGCGUGGGGAGCAAACAGGAUUAGAUACCCGAGUA